Molecule: long non-coding RNA, 696 nt
Organism: Galleria mellonella (greater wax moth)
Lineage: Eukaryota; Metazoa; Arthropoda; Insecta; Lepidoptera; Pyralidae
Exons: 2
Source: RefSeq, a predicted model, not a curated record
AAAACUAUUAAAAUUAAACUAAAAAUAAAUUAAUAUUAUUUAUGUAUAUCUUUUUUCCUCAUGGUACUUUAAAUUAAUAGGUACUUAUUUAUAUGUAUUAUUGCGCUACAAUAACAAACGAGAUAUAGUUGUUGACACAAUUCAGUAGAUAAAAAUUAUCAGCGCCCAUUUAGGUACAAAUAACUCACACUAUAUACGCAUGUGUGGACAGUUUGCGGUUCACAACGAAAUUUUAUGUUAAAUAUAUUAAAAAGGGAUUGUGUUAAAUGAUAAUACUUUUAUAUUUACACACAAGUUAUAAAUUAUGCUAACUGUAUGUUACGUGAGGCCACAGAGGUUAAAGACAAUAGAGUAACUUGUGUUUCGUAUCAUUCGUUUCGAGUCAUUGAAUAUGUCUAGUUGGUGUUGUGUCAGGAUAACAUUUACCUACACAUUACCUUGUAAAGGCUGUACUGUCUGAUCGGGCAAUAACUGAUAUUGUUUGAGUAGUUGCCAAUGGGCCAUGAGUGACUUUGCUGUACGAGAAGGAUAGAACACAUGUGGGUUUUGUUCAAGCAACUCCUGGAACUUCUCAGGCUCUGGAUGUGAAGUCUGUAAAAUAAAUAAAUAAAAUCCUUUUACUUUAGGCAUACCCCAUAGUUUACAUUACAUUUAAUUCAUUAGUACAAUUUAAAAUUAAAAUAUUGAUAUUCAUGA